UAAACGCGUUCUAAUGUGAAAACGUAAAGCUUCGAGAGUUCUAUUUACGUGUAAGAGAGGAUUUUUCUAACGUUUGAAGAUAACGAAGGAUUUUAACUGAGAUUAAAAACUUCGUAAUGUUUUCUUGAAAAAUAUUGGCGAAGGAAAAAUUAAGAAAGAAGAAAAGAAAAAGUGAAUGAAGAAAUAAAAAUGACCACUUCCAAUUUGAUUCGAUCGAAGAUGAAGUAGCAAAAUUUUUCUUUUUUCUUUUUCUUUUUUUUUUUUUUUGUCUUUCUUUCCCCUUAUCAAAUUUUCGAAAGUUCAAUUUUUCUUUCUCUUUUUCUUCUCCCUCUCCCUCUCUCUCUCUCUAUAUAUCUCUCUCUCUUUUUUUAUUCUUUCAACCAUAAGAAGAAAAUGAAAAAUACAGAAGAAACCGAUGCCCUUCCAGAAGCCAUAAUUUCUCUUUAGACAAGGAAGCAAAGAUGAAAAGAUAUGAACGCGCAGGUCUAAGGUUAACGAUCGUUAAAAGGCAGAGUGGAUCCCAAGUAGUAUUCUGGACCAGUCUGAAAUACCGUAAUCGAGGGAAAAAAAUCACUGUUUUUUAACUCGAAUCUUCUUCUACCGAAUUUUUCUCACAGUUAUUAUACCAGAAAAAUGAAGUAAGUAAGUAAGUAAGUAAGUAAGUAAGUAAGUAAGAAAAAAAGAAAGAAAGAAAGAAAGAAAGAAAUCAUCCGAUAUUAAGUUUGAAUUAAAGUGUAGGUAAGAAUGUAUAAUAGUUGUUUGAGUUGAACGAUUAAGAAAGAGAGUGAUAAAAAAUAGAAUUGAAAGAGAGACAGAGACAGAGACAGAGACAGACAGACAGACAGAGACAGACAUAGAUAGAGAGAGAGAGAGAGAGAGAGAGAGAGAGAAAAAGUAUGAAGAAAGAGAAGUUAAGAUGAAAACAUAAAAACUCAUGGAAAACUUUCACGAAGGCGAACCAGCGCCAAGUGAACAUUAGAGGUGUGUCUCCUCUCUGUAUCACCACCUCCCUCUCUCCCACCCCUUCUACAAAGCCACUACCACCACCAGCAGCACCACCACCACCACCACCACCACCACCACCACCACCACCACCACCAACACUACCACUACCUCCAUCUCCUUCCAUAGUCAACCGAGCAUGUCGAAACCGGAACGCGUAGAUAUAUAUCAAACUCGAUUCCAUUUAGUUUCCACAGCGUCUGUGAGUGGAUAGCCUACCUACCGUAGAUCGAACGUAGCAGCCGUGAAAUGGAAAUCUAGAUUGUGGCUGCAUGAAGGAGAGCAUGUCCCGGUAGUUGAUCUUGAUCAAUUGUUUUUCAACGGUUUCGUGAAAACAAUAUUGCCCAGAAGUCGAUUUUCGUUCGUUUCUUAUUUUUUCUAAGAUCACAUCAUACCAUCUAAGAACUUGUACAUGUUGAACGAUAUAACGUCUUGUCAUUAUAAUGCACCUAUCUACAUAGACAUGUUGAAGAAAUUUUCGACACCCUAUAUAAAUCUAAGUAAUCUUUUAAAACGAUCGAACGAUCUCGCAAAGAAGGUCGAUCCUGAUAGACCGAGCAAAGAAGGAAAAGGCCAGGGAGGAAUCCUAUCGACUGUAUCGAGAAAAAAAGUAAGCCAGCGAAAAAGAAAGAGAAAUAAAGAGAGAAAGACAGAGAGAAAGAUAUAUAUAUAUAUAUAUAUAUAUAUAUAUAUAUAUAUAUAUAUAUAGAAAGAACUCAAAGAAGAGUGAAGGAAGAGGAUAGAGCUCGACCGCUUUUGAUCCAAGGAAUUAGCACGCCUGUCGACCCUGAGAGACGACGUUAGCCUGUGAUUCGAGAUUACAAGGAGGACAUCCUACGUCGUCACGGU
Molecule: long non-coding RNA, 1851 nt
Organism: Vespa velutina
Lineage: Eukaryota; Metazoa; Arthropoda; Insecta; Hymenoptera; Vespidae
Exons: 2
Source: RefSeq, a predicted model, not a curated record